This is a long non-coding RNA of Cyprinus carpio (common carp), 1048 nucleotides long. The record is from Ensembl. NCBI's taxonomy places the organism in Eukaryota, Metazoa, Chordata, Actinopteri, Cypriniformes, Cyprinidae.
UUUUACCCCUGGUUUCACAGACAAGGCUCGACUAAAAUGUAAAUCUGAGCUGUUUCAACUGAAAGAAACCUGCACUGACCGUUCUUAAAACAUGUCAGUGCCUUUGUUUUGUCUUAAGAUGCACACCAGUAAUGCUUUUUUCUAAGGCAUGUUUAUAAAAUUUACUUAAAUGUCCUAAUUGAACUAUGGCCUAAUCCUGGCAAGAUUUUUUUCUUCUUGAAAUGGGCUUCCAUAUAUUUACUUUGAUUUUUCUUUAUUUUUGCCACACAUAUAUCAAAAUGUCAACUUAGCUAAGAAUUGUGGAAAUGAUGACAAUUAUCAUAAUUUGUGUAAAACUAAAACAAAUUUCAGACAAUACAUUUUUAAUUUAAAUAGUUCUGAUAACCCUAGUUCAAUCAUUCUUUCAUUCAUUUAUUAUUCAUUUAUUUAUUUUGUAAUAAUAUUUGUACUAUAAAUUUUCAUUGUGUGACAAGGAUAAAAGAAUAAAAUUUAAUCUGUAUUAUGGCAGGAGGAUGCAACACUGUGAACUAUUGUCUGCACAUACGCACACACAAACAAACACGCAUUUACACAUCAGCAGAGAUCUGGAUGUUUUCACCCAUCACUCAAAUGAUCUGGACAUUAACCGGAUCAGACUCUGAGAGCCUGGGGACAUUAUUCUCUGCAGUACUCUCAGAUCCUUCCUGGAGCCGCAUGGAGCACCUCUCAUCUUCAGGUGUGACACAGUGUCGCCCACUUUGCCCCAGGCCCCUAAUCUCACCCCAAAUCCCACCACCACGGUAAGCGGCAUCGCCAUCUGUCUCUAUGGUAACCUGAGAGAGUCCCGUGAGAGGGGUGACGGAUGCCUGGCACACGCACACAUUGCCAACUCACCAGCAUGGCACGCAGCGACCUGCCAUAUGGUGCCACCCCAUAUAUCUAGCGACAGAAGCAGAGGAAGACCUGCAUGUCCAUCCAUGCUGAUAUAGCUCUGGAAUUACGACAGCAGUGUGAACGACUAGUUGCCGCAAUAUGGCUCUAAAAGAUUCAUUAGCGCACUAGGCUUUCC